Molecule: microRNA, 21 nt
Filed under: Aedes aegypti (yellow fever mosquito)
Lineage: Eukaryota; Metazoa; Arthropoda; Insecta; Diptera; Culicidae
Description: aae-miR-263b-3p
Gene: aae-miR-263b-3p
Source: miRBase by way of RNAcentral
UGGAUCUUUUCGUGCCAUCGU